RNAcentral lists this transfer RNA (67 nucleotides) under Macromia daimoji. RNAcentral's name for it is "tRNA-Leu". The record is from RNAcentral. Lineage: Eukaryota; Metazoa; Arthropoda; Insecta; Odonata; Macromiidae.
AACGUUUACUGUGCAAAUCAGUUUAAUUUGAUAAUAUUUAUCUUACUAAUUUUUUUGUUUUUGUUUC